Molecule: transfer RNA, 71 nt
Filed under: Minisyncoccota bacterium
Lineage: Bacteria; Bacillati; Minisyncoccota
Description: tRNA-Gly
Rfam family: tRNA
About the family: Transfer RNA (tRNA) molecules are approximately 80 nucleotides in length. Their secondary structure includes four short double-helical elements and three loops (D, anti-codon, and T loops). Further hydrogen bonds mediate the characteristic L-shaped molecular structure. tRNAs have two regions of fundamental functional importance: the anti-codon, which is responsible for specific mRNA codon recognition, and the 3' end, to which the tRNAs corresponding amino acid is attached (by aminoacyl-tRNA synthetases). tRNAs cope with the degeneracy of the genetic code in two manners: having more than one tRNA (with a specific anti-codon) for a particular amino acid; and 'wobble' base-pairing, i.e. permitting non-standard base-pairing at the 3rd anti-codon position.
Source: RNAcentral
GCGAGCAUAGUUCAGUGGCAGAAUGAUUGCUUCCCAAGCAAUAGAUCGGGGUUCGAUUCCCCGUGUUCGCA